RNAcentral lists this ribosomal RNA (380 nucleotides) under uncultured bacterium. Its description in RNAcentral is "bacterial SSU rRNA". It matches the Rfam family "Bacterial small subunit ribosomal RNA", at positions 427 to 793 of the family's 1533-position model. The record is from RNAcentral.
AAAGCACUUUCAGUCGUGAGGAAGGUGGUGUAGUUAAUAGCUGCAUCAUUUGACGUUAGCGACAGAAGAAGCACCGGCUAACUCCGUGCCAGCAGCCGCGGUAAUACGGAGGGUGCGAGCGUUAAUCGGAAUUACUGGGCGUAAAGCGCAUGCAGGUGGUUUGUUAAGUCAGAUGUGAAAGACCCGGGGCUCAACCUCGGAAUAGCAUUUGAAACUGGCAGACUAGAGUACUGUAGAGGGGGGUAGGAAUUUCAGGUGUAGCGGUGAAAUGCGUAGAGAUCUGAAGGAAUACCGGUGGCGAAGGCGGCCCCCUCGGACAGAUACUGACACUCACGAUGCGAAAGCGUGGGGACGCAAACAGGAUUAGACUACCCUGGUAG